Molecule: ribosomal RNA, 425 nt
Filed under: uncultured bacterium
Lineage: Bacteria
Description: partial 16S ribosomal RNA
Rfam family: Bacterial small subunit ribosomal RNA
Source: RNAcentral
GUGGGGAAUAUUGGACAAUGGGGGCAACCCUGAUCCAGCCAUGCCGCGUGAGUGAUGAAGGCCUUCGGGUUGUAAAGCUCUUUUGGUGGGGACGAUGAUGACGGUACCCACAGAAUAAGCUCCGGCUAACUUCGUGCCAGCAGCCGCGGUAAUACGAAGGGAGCUAGCGUUGUUCGGAAUUACUGGGCGUAAAGGGCGCGUAGGCGGUCAGGCAAGUCAGGUGUGAAAGCCCUGGGCUCAACCCGGGAAUUGCGCUUGAUACUACUUGGCUUGAAUUCGGGAGAGGUUGGUGGAAUUCCCAGUGUAGAGGUGAAAUUCGUAGAGAUUGGGAAGAACACCCGUGGCGAAGGCGGCCAACUGGACCGACAUUGACGCUGAGGCGCGAAAGCGUGGGGAGCAAACAGGAUUAGAAACCCCUGUAGUCC